This is a long non-coding RNA of Populus euphratica (Euphrates poplar), 180 nucleotides long. RefSeq lists it as uncharacterized. The record is from RefSeq and is a predicted model, not a curated record. The transcript is spliced from 3 exons. NCBI's taxonomy places the organism in Eukaryota, Viridiplantae, Streptophyta, Magnoliopsida, Malpighiales, Salicaceae.
GCGAAGGAGUUGGGAGCUCCCAGUGUCUGCGCUGCUGAACUCCUUGACAGCCCCAAUUCUCGUCCGCCCAUGUCCCAGACGAGUUUUCCUGUCUAGCUUGGACAUUCCAUCGCCAAGCCCAUAUUCCUCACCAAUCUGUGCUGUCACAUUCCUCGACAGCCCCAGUUCUCGCCAGCCUAU